Molecule: small RNA, 239 nt
Filed under: Oryza sativa Japonica Group (Japanese rice)
Lineage: Eukaryota; Viridiplantae; Streptophyta; Magnoliopsida; Poales; Poaceae
Description: sRNA Os02g0718950
Source: RNAcentral
CCUGGAGAGACCCAGUGAGUACAACUGGCUUCAGAGAAUCAUACAUUCCAAAGUACAGACCACGGUAGACAAUGAUUCCAACACAUGAGAUGUUAAAUCCACGGUACAACCCAGCAAUGCCAUCUGACUUGAGAGUCUUGCGGUAAACAUCCACAAGGCCAUUGAACUGCCUUUCACCUCCUCCCUUGGCAGCCUUCGCAUCAUUGGCCAACCUUGUCCUAGCAUAGUCAAGGGAGUAC